Galeopterus variegatus (Sunda flying lemur) is the source of this 74-nucleotide non-coding RNA. The record is from the annotation of a RefSeq genome assembly. NCBI's taxonomy places the organism in Eukaryota, Metazoa, Chordata, Mammalia, Dermoptera, Cynocephalidae.
GGCUGGUCAGCUCAGUUGGUUAGAACAUGGUGCUGAUAACACCAAGGUCACGGGUUCAAUUCCUGUACCAGCCA